GGAAUCCAGAGCCUUCCUCGCCCACUACCCACCUGGGGUCGGGAUCGGAGGACUCGGCACCCACCCUGUCGCAGCGCUCCGAGCCCACAGAAGGGACUGGGUGCACAGCACUACGCCCGGCCAGAUUGUUUUGGCUAUUUUCAUUGUUUGAUUAGCUGAAGAAUUCUGUCCCAUUUCUCCAUGAAUCCUGGUUCUCAGGGACAAGGAGGAUAAGAUUAGAAUAUCUCAUAAAUACUCAUUGGCUUCAAUGAAUAUUGUUCAGCCAACAGUCUCAGGAUAGUACCACCCAUAGCCUUCAUCACUGCUAUUGUUCAAAGCAAGUGCCUGCCUGAAUGAUGGCUCAGUAGUGGGGCUGGAGAGACAACUCAGUGGUUAAGAGUACUUACUGCUCUUCAGAGGAACUGGGUUUAGUUCCCAGCACCCAAGUGGCCACUAACACAUGUCCUUAACUCUUUUUCCAUGGGAUCCAACACCCUCUUCUG
This is a long non-coding RNA of Nannospalax galili (Upper Galilee mountains blind mole rat), 482 nucleotides long. RefSeq lists it as uncharacterized. NCBI's taxonomy places the organism in Eukaryota, Metazoa, Chordata, Mammalia, Rodentia, Spalacidae. The record is from RefSeq and is a predicted model, not a curated record. The transcript is spliced from 3 exons.